Long non-coding RNA from Solanum dulcamara, 410 nucleotides. RefSeq lists it as uncharacterized. The transcript is spliced from 2 exons. The record is from RefSeq and is a predicted model, not a curated record. NCBI's taxonomy places the organism in Eukaryota, Viridiplantae, Streptophyta, Magnoliopsida, Solanales, Solanaceae.
CCACAUGGCCAAUUCUAAUUGGCCCAUGCUUUAGUAGGGGACAUCUAGUCACCUUGGGCAGCACACAUGGUCUUCAUUUUGACCAAAAUAGCAGCCAAAAACGUGUCCCAACUCCAGAAUGUUCAAGAAAGAGAGAGAAGCCCUCAUCUUCUCCAAAUUUCCUAAGCUUUUGGGAAAGAAAGAAUAGAGAGAAGUAACGAGAGAGAGAGGCGGACAAGCUUGAGAGUGAGGAAGAAAUUGAGGGAUUAAGUGUGGUGAUUAUUCAAGGUUAUGGAAGCAAGGAUGGAUCCAUUAGAGAAGCAAAAAAAAAAUGUUUUUGACCAAGCCCUCAAAUUUUCAAGCAAAUUGUUUCAUAAAAGCCUAAGGUAUGAGGCAGCAUAUACAUGUUGUGUGUGGAUAAACACUAAAGG